This 390-nucleotide long non-coding RNA is filed under the name Homo sapiens (human). Its description in RNAcentral is "HNRNPD divergent transcript, transcript variant 2 (HNRNPD-DT)". The record is from RNAcentral. Lineage: Eukaryota; Metazoa; Chordata; Mammalia; Primates; Hominidae.
ACUCUCCCUGCCGUCGCCGCCCGGGACCGGGUGACAUUGAGGUUUUCGUCUAUCGCCGCUGGGCCGAUAGGGCUUCUUUUUAAGAUUUGGCUUUCCAACUCCCACUUUGCAGUUGUGUCAGCCAAUCACGACAGCUUCCCAGACUUCCGUGCAAGUGCCUGCUUUGAGGCCAAGGUGGCCAUAAAUGGCAGCUCCUCAGGCUCCUCCACAAUCUCUGGUUUCUUAUGUUUCUCCAUGAGCUCAGCUUUUUCAUCAACUCCAAUGCUUCAAGCCGAAGUCAUUAGUGAAUGUUCUACAAUCCUUCAGCUGCAGCUCCAGACCUUCACUCCUCCAGCUUCUCCUACAUCCAUCUAACCCUCAAUUCCUACAUUAAAUCUCUUUAUUCCAGAA